RNAcentral lists this transfer RNA (76 nucleotides) under Actinomycetota bacterium. Its description in RNAcentral is "Actinobacteria bacterium (sediment metagenome) tRNA-Ala". It matches the Rfam family "tRNA". Rfam says of the family: Transfer RNA (tRNA) molecules are approximately 80 nucleotides in length. Their secondary structure includes four short double-helical elements and three loops (D, anti-codon, and T loops). Further hydrogen bonds mediate the characteristic L-shaped molecular structure. tRNAs have two regions of fundamental functional importance: the anti-codon, which is responsible for specific mRNA codon recognition, and the 3' end, to which the tRNAs corresponding amino acid is attached (by aminoacyl-tRNA synthetases). tRNAs cope with the degeneracy of the genetic code in two manners: having more than one tRNA (with a specific anti-codon) for a particular amino acid; and 'wobble' base-pairing, i.e. permitting non-standard base-pairing at the 3rd anti-codon position. The record is from RNAcentral. Lineage: Bacteria; Bacillati; Actinomycetota.
GGGGGAUUAGCUCAGUUGGGAGAGCGCCGCCUUUGCACGGCGGAGGCCGCCGGUUCGACCCCGGUAUCCUCCACCU